AGAGCUCCAACAAUAGCAGCCCAGAGACUGAAACGCAACUAUCUUCUGCUUUAAAAAGACCCGGUGCCUUACGUCUGUGGUCCCUUCCAAUAUUGCUGAAUGGCACUACGUGAUCUGAGGCCUUCAGAUGACUCCUUGCAAAGGUGGCUAUUAUCACGGACAAGUAAUUUUUCCCAGAGAAUUUCCUUUUAAACUUCGUAGUAUUUGUACGGUAACUCCCUGUGGAAGGUUUCAGUGCUGUACGAGGCUGCGUCUUCCCGUCAUGGAUCUCCAUCCAGACCACCUGGCCUCGUCCGUCUCCACCCUGCAGACCAGGAUCCUUAGCUUCCGGAUGGAGAAGGGCCCCACUCUGGGCAUUUAGAGACGCCUGACUUCAUGAAAAGAUAACUGGCAGCACAUAGUUUAGCGUUUAACUCAAAAGACAAAGUCUUUUGUGGAUAAUUUCCUUAAGUCGUGGAGGAAAUGAAACAAAAACAGAAAGCACGAGACAACGCAGUAGCAGAUCCCAGACCCUCCCCUUAUCAGACGGGGCUCCGGACGGGGAGAUGCUCCACGGCCAGGACCAGCUUCAGCUCCUCAACCUCUCUGGCUUCAGCAGGCCCACUGGUCCCAUGGCCUCCUGGGCUGGCCCUGACCUACUUGUCUGUCAUGGUUGGGUGUGCAGCCUUCGCCUACACAGUCAGGUACGUGCAGAGAAACAGAGGCAGUUGA
Molecule: RNA transcript, 711 nt
Organism: Equus caballus (horse)
Lineage: Eukaryota; Metazoa; Chordata; Mammalia; Perissodactyla; Equidae
Gene name: ubiquitin-conjugating enzyme E2 J2
Source: RefSeq, a predicted model, not a curated record